This 437-nucleotide ribosomal RNA is filed under the name uncultured bacterium. RNAcentral's name for it is "bacterial SSU rRNA". It matches the Rfam family "Bacterial small subunit ribosomal RNA", at positions 958 to 1396 of the family's 1533-position model. The record is from RNAcentral.
AACGCGAAGAACCUUACCUGGGUUUGACAUGUGCCUGACCGCCGUGGAAACACGGUUUCCCUUCGGGGCAGGUUCACAGGUGGUGCAUGGCUGUCGUCAGCUCGUGUCGUGAGAUGUUGGGUUAAGUCCCGCAACGAGCGCAACCCCCGUCGCAUGUUGCCAGCAUUUAGUUGGGGACUCAUGCGAGACUGCCGGUGACAAACCGGAGGAAGGUGGGGAUGACGUCAAGUCCUCAUGCCCCUUAUGUCCAGGGCUACACACGUGCUACAUUGGCCGGUACAGAGGGCAGCGAUACCGCGAGGUGGAGCGAAUCCCUCAAAGCCGGUCUCAGUUCGGAUUGCAGGCUGAAACUCGCCUGCAUGAAGGCGGAGUUGCUAGUAAUCGCAGAUCAGCAAUGCUGCGGUGAAUACGUUCCCGGGCCUUGUACACACCGGUAC